AAAUUGAAGAGUUUGAUCAUGGCUCAGAUUGAACGCUGGCGGCAGGCCUAACACAUGCAAGUCGAACGGUAACAGGAAGAAGCUUGCUUCUUUGCUGACGAGUGGCGGACGGGUGAGUAAUGUCUGGGAAACUGCCUGGUGGAGGGGGAUAACUACUGGAAACGGUAGCUAAUACCGCAUAACGUCGCAAGACCAAAGAGG
This 201-nucleotide ribosomal RNA is filed under the name Escherichia coli. RNAcentral's name for it is "partial 16S ribosomal RNA". It matches the Rfam family "Bacterial small subunit ribosomal RNA", at positions 1 to 209 of the family's 1533-position model. Lineage: Bacteria; Pseudomonadati; Pseudomonadota; Gammaproteobacteria; Enterobacterales; Enterobacteriaceae. The record is from RNAcentral.